Molecule: ribosomal RNA, 464 nt
Filed under: uncultured bacterium
Lineage: Bacteria
Description: partial 16S ribosomal RNA
Rfam family: Bacterial small subunit ribosomal RNA
Source: RNAcentral
AUUGAACGCUGGCGGAAUGCUUUACACAUGCAAGUCGAACGGCAGCACGGGGGCAGCCCUGGUGGCGAGUGGCGAACGGGUGAGUAAUACAUCGGAACGUGCCCGGUCGUGGGGGAUAACGUAGCGAAAGUUACGCUAAUACCGCAUACGAUCUGAGGAUGAAAGCGGGGGACCUUCGGGCCUCGCGCGAUCGGAGCGGCGGAUGGCAGAGUAGGUAGUUGGUGGGGUAAAGGCUUACCAAGCCGACGAUCUGUAGCUGGUCUGAGAGGACGACCAGCCAAAUGGGGACGGAGAUACGACCCAGACGGCGAAGGGAGGCAGAAGGGGAGAAUAGGGCACAAUGGGCGGAAGAAGGAUGCAGCAACGCCGCGUGCGGGAGGAGGGACUGAGGGGUGUAAACAGAUAAAGACUGUGACGAAGCGUGAGGGAAGGUAAUGGGUAAAGAAGCACCGGAUAACUACGUG